RNAcentral lists this long non-coding RNA (206 nucleotides) under Ictidomys tridecemlineatus (thirteen-lined ground squirrel). Its description in RNAcentral is "lncRNA (ENSSTOG00000030364.1)". The record is from RNAcentral. Lineage: Eukaryota; Metazoa; Chordata; Mammalia; Rodentia; Sciuridae.
AUCAUGGACAAAGUAAGAGAGGCGAUUCAGAGAAUUCCAAGAGCACCCGGAGAGAGACAAAGUAUGGAAGUGACAAGUGCUCACAAGAGGAGGAUUUGGUCUUGCAAUGGCUAGCCGGCUCUAGUCAAGUGAGUACUGUGGAAGCCAAACAUACUCUUUGGACAAGCAUCCCAUGGUCAGAUACACUCAUCUGCCAAUUGGUGUUC